AUUAAUUUUAUUAUUUUUUAUAUUUUAAUAAAAAUAAUUUUAUAAAUUUUUGUUUUAGUAAUUUUUAAGGAAAUAAUAAUAUUUAUAGUAGUUUAUUAGUAUAGUAAUAGAAAAUUGAAAUAAUUUGAAAAAUUUUUAUUUUAAAAGAAAAUUUAAUUUAUUGUACCUUGUGUAUCAGGGUUUAUUAAAUAUAAAAUAAUUAUAUUUAUUUUUCUCGAAUUUUAAAGAUUUAAUUAUAUAAAAAAGUUAAUGUAGAAUAAUUAUUUUAAAUAUAUAAUUAGAAAUGAAAUGUUAAUCGUUUUAAAAUAUAUCUAGUUUUUUAAGAAAUAAAUUUAAUUUAGAUUUAUUAAUUUAAUUUAUUAAUUUUGAAAUAAAUUAAUUUAAUAAAAUUAAUAUUUUAAGGGAUUAGCUUUAAAAUAAAUUUUUAAAUUUUAAAAAAUUAUUUAAAUAAAUGUAAGCUUAAAAUUAGUUAUCUUUAAUAAUUUUGUUAUAAAUUAUUUAUUAAAUAAUAUUAUUUAUUUUUAAAUUAAAUUUUUUAUUAAUAUAUAUAUUUUAAUUUUAAAAAUAUAGAAAUUAUGAUAAAAUUAGUAUAUUGUUAUUUAUAUAAAUAAUAAAAAUUGAUAGGUUUAAAUAAGGAAUUCGGCAAAUUUUAUAUUCACCUGUUUAUCAAAAACAUGUCUUUUUGAAUUUAAUUUAAAGUCUAACCUGCCCACUGAAAUUUUUAAAGGGCCGCAGUAUUUUGACUGUGCAAAGGUAGCAUAAUCAAUAGUCUUUUAAUUGAAGGCUUGUAUGAAUGGUUGAAUGAGAUAUAAACUGUCUUUUUUAAAAUUUUAUAGAAUUUUAUUUUUUAAUUAAAAAGUUAAAAUAUAAUUAAAAGACGAGAAGACCCUAUAGAUCUUUAUUUUUAUUUUUUAUAAAUUAAUUAGAUUAUAAAGAUUUAUAAUAAAAUUAAAAAUUUUACUGGGGUGGUAUUAAAAUUUAAGAAACUUUUAUUUUUAUUUACAUUAAUAUAUGAAUAUUUGAUCCAAUAAUAUUGAUUAAAAAAUUAAGUUACCUUAGGGAUAACAGCGUAAUUUUUUUUUAGAGUUCAUAUCGACAAAAAAGAUUGCGACCUCGAUGUUGGAUUAAGAGUUAUUUUUAGGUGUAGAAGUUUAAAGUUUAAGUCUGUUCGACUUUUGAAUUCUUACAUGAUCUGAGUUCAAACCGGUGUAAGCCAGGUUGGUUUCUAUCUUUAAUUAAUUAUUAUAUUAUAGUACGAAAGGACCUAAUAUAAAAAAUAUAAAUUUUAUUAAUUUUAGAAUUAUAAUAAAUUGAUUU
RNAcentral lists this ribosomal RNA (1317 nucleotides) under Sabethes belisarioi. Its description in RNAcentral is "16S ribosomal RNA". Lineage: Eukaryota; Metazoa; Arthropoda; Insecta; Diptera; Culicidae. The record is from RNAcentral.